Molecule: ribosomal RNA, 269 nt
Filed under: uncultured prokaryote
Description: partial 16S ribosomal RNA
Rfam family: Bacterial small subunit ribosomal RNA
Source: RNAcentral
UACGGAGGAUCCGAGCGUUAUCCGGAUUUAUUGGGUUUAAAGGGUGCGCAGGCGGGAUGUUAAGUCGGCGGUGAAAUUUUGCAGCUCAACUGUAAAAGUGCCUUCGAUACUGGCUUUCUUGAGUGUGGAUGAAGUAGGCGGAAUUUGUGGUGUAGUGGUGAAAUGCUUAGAUAUCACGAGGAACUCCGAUUGCGCAGGCAGCUUACUAAACCACUACUGACGCUCAUGCACGAAGGCGUGGGGAUCAAACAGGAUUAGAUACCCCGGUA